UGCAGUCGACGGUAACAGGAUGUGCUUGCACAUCGCUGACGAGUGGCGGACGGGUGAGUAAUGCUUGGGAACUUGCCUUUGCGAGGGGGAUAACAGUUGGAAACGACUGCUAAUACCGCAUAAUGUCUUCGGACCAAACGGGGCUUCGGCUCCGGCGCAAAGAGAGGCCCAAGUGAGAUUAGCUAGUUGGUAAGGUAACGGCUUACCAAGGCGACGAUCUCUAGCUGUUCUGAGAGGAAGAUCAGCCACACUGGGACUGAGACACGGCCCAGACUCCUACGGGAGGCAGCAGUGGGGAAUAUUGCACAAUGGGGGAAACCCUGAUGCAGCCAUGCCGCGUGUGUGAAGAAGGCCUUCGGGUUGUAAAGCACUUUCAGUUGUGAGGAAAAGUUAGUAGUUAAUACCUGCUAGCCGUGACGUUAACAACAAGAAGAAGCACCGGCUAACUCCGUGCCAGCAGCCGCGGUAAUACGGGAGGGGUGCGAGCGUUAAUCGGAAUUACUGGGCGUAAGCGCACGCAGGCGGUUUGUUAAGCUAGAUGUGAAAGCCCCGGGCUCAACCUGGGAUGGUCAUUUAGAACUGGCAGACUAGAGUCUUGGAGAGGGGAGUGGAAUUCCAGGUGUAGCGGUGAAAUGCGUAGAUAUCUGGAGGAACAUCAGUGGCGAAGGCGACUCCCUGGCCAAAGACUGACGCUCAUGUGCGAAAGUGUGGGUAGCGAACAGGAUUAGAUACCCUGGUAGUCCACACCGUAAACGCUGUCUACUAGCUGUGUGUGCCUUUAAGGCGUGCGUAACCAAAGCUAA
RNAcentral lists this ribosomal RNA (803 nucleotides) under Alteromonas sp. MOLA 79. RNAcentral describes it as "bacterial SSU rRNA". It matches the Rfam family "Bacterial small subunit ribosomal RNA", at positions 56 to 855 of the family's 1533-position model. The record is from RNAcentral. Lineage: Bacteria; Pseudomonadati; Pseudomonadota; Gammaproteobacteria; Alteromonadales; Alteromonadaceae.